AUACUCAAUGAAAGGAGAGAAUGUUGGCACUCUGCUUGAUAAGGAUGGAAGGGGCCUUAGUGGCCUUACAACACACAAAUGGUUAAGACAAGGCAAUCUAAUUAGUGGCAUCACCAUGUUUUUAG
This is a small nuclear RNA of Amblyraja radiata (thorny skate), 125 nucleotides long. The record is from RefSeq and is a predicted model, not a curated record. NCBI's taxonomy places the organism in Eukaryota, Metazoa, Chordata, Chondrichthyes, Rajiformes, Rajidae.